This 482-nucleotide ribosomal RNA is filed under the name uncultured bacterium. RNAcentral's name for it is "partial 16S ribosomal RNA". It matches the Rfam family "Bacterial small subunit ribosomal RNA", at positions 30 to 507 of the family's 1533-position model. The record is from RNAcentral.
AUUGAACGCUGGCGGCAUGCUUUACACAUGCAAGUCGAACGGUAACAGCACUUCGGUGGCUGACGAGUGGCGAACGGGUGAGUAAUACAUCGGAACGUGCCUAGUAGUGGGGGCUAACUACUCGAAAGAGUAGCUAAUACCGCAUGAGAUCUAAGGAUGAAAGCAGGGGACCUUCGGGCCUUGCGCUACUAGAGCGGCUGAUGGCAGAUUAGGUAGUUGGUGGGAUAAAAGCUUACCAAGCCGACGAUCUGUAGCUGGUCUGAGAGGACGACCAGCCACACUGGGACUGAGACACGGCCCAGACUCCUACGGGAGGCAGCAGUGGGGAAUUUUGGACAAUGGGCGCAAGCCUGAUCCAGCAAUGCCGCGUGCAGGAUGAAGGCCUUCGGGUUGUAAACUGCUUUUGUACGGAACGAAAAGCCCUCUUCUAAUACAGGAGGGUCAUGACGGUACCGUAAGAAUAAGCACCGGCUAACUACGUG